RNAcentral lists this small RNA (520 nucleotides) under uncultured Glomus. RNAcentral describes it as "SSU rRNA". It matches the Rfam family "Eukaryotic small subunit ribosomal RNA", at positions 569 to 1094 of the family's 1831-position model. Lineage: Eukaryota; Fungi; Glomeromycota; Glomeromycetes; Glomerales; Glomeraceae. The record is from RNAcentral.
AGCAGCCGCGGUAAUUCCAGCUCCAAUAGCGUAUAUUAAAGUUGCUGCAGUUAAAAAGCUCGUAGUUGAAUUUCGGGAUCAAUAUGUUGGUCGUGCCUCGGUACGUACUAGCUUAUUGGUUUCUUCCUUCUGACGAACCAUAAUGUCAUUUAUUUGGUGUUAUGGGGAAUCAGGACUGUUACUUUGAAAAAUUAGAGUGUUUAAAGCAGGCUCACGCUUGAAUACAUUAGCAUGGAAUAAUGAAAUAGGACGUUUGAUUCUAUUUUGUUGGUUUCUAGGAUCGACGUAAUGAUUAAUAGGGAUAGUUGGGGGCAUUAGUAUUCAAUUGUCAGAGGUGAAAUUCUUGGAUUUAUUGAAGACUAACUACUGCGAAAGCAUUUGCCAAGGAUGUUUUCAUUAAUCAAGAACGAAAGUUAGGGGAUCGAAGACGAUCAGAUACCGUCGUAGUCUUAACCAUAAACUAUGCCGACUAGGGAUCGGAUGAUGUUAAUUUUUAAUGACUCAUUCGGCGCCUUACGGG